This 557-nucleotide ribosomal RNA is filed under the name Lodderomyces sp. W8Y14. RNAcentral's name for it is "eukaryotic LSU rRNA". It matches the Rfam family "Eukaryotic large subunit ribosomal RNA", at positions 84 to 655 of the family's 3401-position model. The record is from RNAcentral. Lineage: Eukaryota; Fungi; Ascomycota; Pichiomycetes; Serinales; Debaryomycetaceae.
UAGCGGCGAGUGAAGCGGCAAUUACGCUCAAAUUUGAAAUCUGGCACUUUCAGUGUCCGAAGUUGUAAUUUGAAGAAGGUAUCUUUGGGUCUAGCUCUUGUCUAUGUUUCUUGGAACAGAACGUCACAGAGGGUGAGAAUCCCGUGCGAUGAGAUGUCUAGAUCUAUGUAAAGUUCCUUCGAAGAGUCGAGUUGUUUGGGAAUGCAGCUCUAAGUGGGUGGUAAAUUCCAUCUAAAGCUAAAUAUUGGCGAGAGACCGAUAGCGAACAAGUACAGUGAUGGAAAGAUGAAAAGAACUUUGAAAAGAGAGUGAAAAAGUACGUGAAAUUGUUGAAAGGGAAGGGCUUGAGAUCAGACUUGGUAUUUUGUAUGUUACUCUCUCGGGGGUGGCCUCUACAGUUUACCGGGCCAGCAUCAGUUUGAGCGGUAGGAGAAUUGCGUAGGAAUGUGGCUCGGCCUCGGUCGAGUGUUAUAGCCUUCGUCGAUACUGCCAGCUUAGACUGAGGACUGCGGCUUCGGCCUAGGAUGUUGGCAUAAUGAUCUUAAGUCGCCCGUCUU